UUGGACCUGAUAUCACACAAAAUUACCCGCUGAACUUAAGCAUAUCAAUAAG
This 52-nucleotide ribosomal RNA is filed under the name Phytopythium helicoides. Its description in RNAcentral is "partial 28S ribosomal RNA". The record is from RNAcentral. Lineage: Eukaryota; Oomycota; Peronosporomycetes; Pythiales; Pythiaceae.